This 254-nucleotide ribosomal RNA is filed under the name uncultured bacterium. Its description in RNAcentral is "partial 16S ribosomal RNA". It matches the Rfam family "Bacterial small subunit ribosomal RNA", at positions 524 to 776 of the family's 1533-position model. The record is from RNAcentral.
UACGUAGGGGGCAAGCGUUGUCCGGAUUCAUUGGGCGUAAAGAGCUCGUAGGCGGUUCGGCAAGUCGGGUGUGAAAACUCCAGGCUCAACCUGGAGACGCCACCCGAUACUGCUGUGACUUGAGUCCGGUAGGGGACCACGGAAUUCCUGGUGUAGCGGUGAAAUGCGCAGAUAUCGGGAGGAACACCGGUGGCGAAGGCGGUUCUCUGGGCCUGUACUGACGCUGAGGAGCGAAAGCGUGGGGAGCGAACAGG